UCCAAGGUAGCUCAGGUGGUAGAGAAUCUGCCUGCAAUGCAGGAGACCCAGGUUCAAUCCCUGGGUUGGGAA
This 72-nucleotide transfer RNA is filed under the name Capra hircus (goat). It matches the Rfam family "tRNA". Rfam says of the family: Transfer RNA (tRNA) molecules are approximately 80 nucleotides in length. RNAcentral also lists the same sequence under 1 other name. The record is from Rfam by way of RNAcentral. Lineage: Eukaryota; Metazoa; Chordata; Mammalia; Artiodactyla; Bovidae.